Molecule: ribosomal RNA, 253 nt
Filed under: uncultured bacterium
Lineage: Bacteria
Description: partial 16S ribosomal RNA
Rfam family: Bacterial small subunit ribosomal RNA
Source: RNAcentral
GACGAACCGUCCAAACGUUAUUCGGAAUUACUGGGCUUAAAGGGUGCGUAGGCGGUGUGGUAAGUUGGGUGUGAAAGCCCUCGGCUCAACCGAGGAACUGCGCUCAAUACUGCUGCACUUGAGGAAGAUAGAGGUGGGCGGAACUACGGGUGGAGCGGUGAAAUGUGUUGAUAUCCGUAGGAACACCGGUGGCGAAAGCGGCCCACGGGGUCUUCUCUGACCCUGAGGCACGAAAGCUAGGGGAGCGAACGGG